Long non-coding RNA from Myotis daubentonii (Daubenton's bat), 591 nucleotides. RefSeq lists it as uncharacterized. The record is from RefSeq and is a predicted model, not a curated record. Lineage: Eukaryota; Metazoa; Chordata; Mammalia; Chiroptera; Vespertilionidae.
UGGGGCCUGCGGGUCACUCGCGUUUCCCGGCCACGAGGUGGGCCCAGGGGUGCACGAUCCUCUCCGUCCUCCCCCCCCCGCCCCCCCGCAACUGGCGCCCGAGGGGACAUGAGGGCGGCACCGGUGCCAAUCGCCUCAGGUGACCGAGUCCGGCACGGGGGUCGGCCACUAGGAGGACCCCCCCGAGGCGUCCCCAGCUAAACCAGCGUGCUCACCCAGCACCGUCCUCCGCGGAGAAAUCAGGCCCUCACUUCUGGUGGGUGCCCUGCACCAUCCUGGCUCAUGGGGCUUCAGCACAUGCGUGGGGGAGAGAAGCCUUCAGCCUCUCCGGUUAUAACACGCCCCCAAUAACGACCUGGCGACACAGAAAUCAACAGAGGCUACUCAACGGAAAGCUAAGUUCUGGAGAAACUUCCAAGGGAAGUGAAAAGAAUUUGGACCCUUCAAGUCCUUACCCGCCUCCAUCCACAAACACAGACUGGCAAUUCACAAGUCAGUGCGAGGUUUUCCACAUCCAACGGUUUGGAGGAAUGAGAAGAAAAAAAAAAAGUCAGAAGUAAAGCCCGCCGUACAGUGCCUUUCCUUGUCCUU